RNAcentral lists this ribosomal RNA (505 nucleotides) under uncultured bacterium. Its description in RNAcentral is "partial 16S ribosomal RNA". It matches the Rfam family "Bacterial small subunit ribosomal RNA", at positions 28 to 507 of the family's 1533-position model. The record is from RNAcentral.
GACGAACGCUGGCGGCGUGCCUAAUACAUGCAAGUAGAACGCACAGUUUAUACCGUAGCUUGCUACACCAUAAACUGUGAGUUGCGAACGGGUGAGUAACGCGUAGGUAACCUGCCUGGUAGCGGGGGAUAACUAUUGGAAACGCUAGCUAAUACCGCAUAAUAUUGAUUAUUGCAUGAUAAUUGAUUGAAAGAUGCUAUUGCAUCACUACCAGAUGGACCUGCGUUGUAUUAGCUAGUAGGUGAGGUAACGGCUCACCUAGGCGGCGAUACAUAGCCGACCGGAGAGGGUGGUCAGCCACACUGGGACGGAGACACGGCCCAGACUCAUACGGGAGGGAGCAGUAGGGAAGCGUCGGCAAUGGACGAAAGUCUGACCGAGCAACGCCGCGGGAGUGAAGAAGGUUGUCGGAUCGUAAAGCUCUGUUGUAAGAGAAGAACGGGUGUGAGAGUGGAAAGUUCACACUGUGACGGUAUCUGACCAGAAAGGGACGGCUAACUACGUG